RNAcentral lists this ribosomal RNA (274 nucleotides) under uncultured bacterium. RNAcentral's name for it is "partial 16S ribosomal RNA". It matches the Rfam family "Bacterial small subunit ribosomal RNA", at positions 523 to 796 of the family's 1533-position model. The record is from RNAcentral.
AUACGGAGGGGGCUAGCGUUGUUCGGAAUUACUGGGCGUAAAGCGCACGUAGGCGGAUUAAAAAGUUAGAGGUGAAAUCCCAGGGCUUAACCCUGGAACUGCCUUUAAAACUAGUAGUCUAGAGUUCGAGAGAGGUGAGUGGAAUUCCAAGUGUAGAGGUGAAAGUCGUAGAUAUUUGGAGGAACACCAGUGGCGAAGGCGGCUCACUGGCUCGAUACUGACGCUGAGGUGCGAAAGCGUGGGGAGCAAACAGGAUUAGAAACCCCGGUAGUCC